UUUGAUUACGUCCCUGCCCUUUGUACACACCGCCCGUCGCUGCCCGGGACUGAGCCAUUUCGAGAAACUCGGGGACGAUUAGCGAGCGAGCUUCGGUUGGCGCGCAGAUUGGAACCGAUUUAAUCGCAGUGGCUUGAACCGGGCAAAAGUCGUAACAAGGUAGCUGUAGGUGAACCUGCUGCUGGAUCAUUAC
Molecule: ribosomal RNA, 193 nt
Filed under: Heterodera sp. OK14
Lineage: Eukaryota; Metazoa; Nematoda; Chromadorea; Rhabditida; Heteroderidae
Description: partial 18S ribosomal RNA
Rfam family: Eukaryotic small subunit ribosomal RNA
Source: RNAcentral